This 1965-nucleotide long non-coding RNA is filed under the name Homo sapiens (human). RNAcentral describes it as "HSALNT0390705". The record is from RNAcentral. Lineage: Eukaryota; Metazoa; Chordata; Mammalia; Primates; Hominidae.
CUUGAACAAGGGCUAUCAAAUGAGGCCUUCUCCCAGCAAGCUGUAUGAAAUUGGAGAUUCCACUUACCUUCUGCCUCUUAAAAUUAGACAAGCCCUCCACACAGCAAGAGAAUAAGUGGCAAGCAUGUGGACAGCUCUUUCUGAGCUGGAUGAUUUAGUGAAGCAGCUGUGGGGGACACAGGAGGGGAGAUUUGGAAGAAGGACGCAGUGGGCUGAGGGAGGACUAUUCACCCCCUAUUUGCAAUGCUGAGUUUCGCCCUGUUGUCCAGGCUGGAAUGCAAUGGCAAGAUCUCGGCUCACUGCAACUUCUGCUUCCCGGUUUCAAGCGAUUCUCCUGCCUCAGCCUCCUGAGUACCUGAAAUUACAGGCAUGCACCAUCACAUCAGGCUAAUUUUUUGUAUCUUUAGUAGAGGCAGGGUUUCACCAUGUUGGCCAGGCUGGUCUCAAACUCCUGACCUCGUGAUCCGCCCUCCUCAGCGUCCCAAAGUGCUGGAAUUACAGGCGGGAGUCACCACGCCUGGCCAAUCAUAACUUCUAAUUGCAUAAUGUAAAGCAAAUAUUUAACCUCUUCAAAUCUUGAUGCUCCCCUCUACAAAAUGGGCACACGGCUGCACAGGUAGAGUUGAGACCCUUGGUUUACACUUGAGCAACUAGUGAACAUUCAGGAGAUCAGAGCCUUCUGCUGCAUUUGUUAGUUUAGUCACUGUUAUCAUGAAGUUUCAUUAUCGUCAGUAAUACCCUUUCAGAAUGAUGCAUACCUAUUCCCAAAGUGUUUUUAGAUCUUUUAUUUUGUUGUUCAAGUCAGUUGCAGUAAAUGCCAGAGACUUGCAUAACAAAGAGCUCUCCUACAUCUUUCACUCAGGGCCAAAUCUGACAUCUCACAAGCUCUCACUGCAUCUCACAAGUUGCAACAACUGCAGAAUUCAUGUGUUUUCAUGUUUUUCACAAUGAGCACUAUGACCAUUAAUCUCACAAAUUGUGUCAGCUCUUAAACUCAAGAACACAUAGAGAUUUUCUCUUAUCUGUCACAAUACAUACAAAAACUGAAUCCUGAUUUUGGCCAUUCACAAAUAUCUCCCUUCUGGAUCCACAUUAUGAAUCAUUUCUUUUGUGACCGAUUGGUUCAUUUCUUCGCCCCUGACUGCUGGUUCCCAUGCAUAACUCACUCAUUCCUACCUCUGAGCUGUUUAACAGGCCAUCCAUCCACCUUUACCACUCAAAUUUAACAGUGUGCUGUAGUGCUUGAGGAUGGGCUCUAGAGCUUAACAGAACCAGAUUCCACUCCUGGCUGCAUCGUUGACUGGAUGGAAAUGUUGGACAAUGCACUUACCCUUUCUGAGCUUUAAUUUUCUCAUCUGUCAAAUGUAACUGGAUAAGAGUGACUUCAGACUUCACGUGACGCCGGUGCUGGGCGAACAGGGCGGCGGCCACUGGACCCUCGUUUUGGCUGGGGAAGGAAACCCUGAAGGUGCCACUGGCGCUCUUUGCCUUGAACCGGCAGCGCCGGUGUGAGCGGCUGCGGAAGAACCCUGCUGUGCAGGCCGGCUCAGUAGUGGUCCUGCAGGGCUAAGAGGAGACUCAGCGCUACUGCACCUACACCGGGGUCCUCUUCCGCCAGGAGUCCUUCUUUCACUGCGCAUUCGGUGUCACCGAGCCAGGCUGCUACGGCUUCAUCGACGCUGACACUGGGAAGUCGGCCCUGUUUGUGCCCAGGCUUCCUGCCAGCCAUGCCACCUGGAUGGGAAAGAUCCAUUCCAAGGAGCACUUCAAGGAGAAGUAUGCCGUGGACGACGUCCAGGACGCAGAUGAGAUUGCCAUUGUCCUGACGUCACAGAAGCCCUCUGUCCUCCUCACUUUGCGUGGCGUCAACACAGACAGCAGCAGCGUCUGCAGGGAGGCUUCCUUCGAGGGCAUCAGCAAGUUCAAAGUCAACAACACCAUUCUUCACCCAGAGAUCGUUUAGUG